CUCAGCUGACGGGGCUCUUUGCUUUUUCAUGUUGCUCUUUCUGGAAGGGGCCCCGGUGUCAGACCCAUUCACAAGCAUGGGCCAUAAAUGACCGAGGUGAACACCACACAUAGCACUGCAUUUGAAAAAAGAGCACAGACUCUGGAGCACAGCCAAAAUGCCAGGAACAAAAGGUAAUAAGUCGGACAAGAAGUCAACUACCAAGCCACCUCAGAGUCCUAAAGAACAGCCAAAGAAAGGUGAUCAGAAAGGAGAUGAUAGCAAGAAGCAAGGAG
Molecule: long non-coding RNA, 275 nt
Organism: Boleophthalmus pectinirostris (great blue-spotted mudskipper)
Lineage: Eukaryota; Metazoa; Chordata; Actinopteri; Gobiiformes; Gobiidae
Exons: 3
Source: RefSeq, a predicted model, not a curated record